AUGACGCCUCUGUUCAUCUCAGUGCUGCUGGCUGCUAUGUGCCUCGAAUGCAGAGCACAAAAAGACAACGUGCUGCAAGCAAAAGGAGAAGAGACUGCUGCUGAAGGAGACACAGUAACACUUCACUGUCUCUAUAACACCAGCUCAUCAAAUCAUUAUCUCUUCUGGUACAAACAGGAUGGAAACAACAGCCCCAAAUUCAUCCUGAGUCGCUUUAAAGUUGGUGAAGGGAAAACAGAGGCUGGAGACAGAUUUUCAUCCACACUGGAUUCCAGCAUCAGAUCAGUUCCUCUGAAGAUCCAGAAGCUUCAGCUGUCUGACUCUGCUGUGUACUACUGUGCUCUGCAGCCCACAGUGACAGGAAACACCAAAACUCUGUACUGCACUCUCAAAGACUCUUUUAGCCCUUUGUUUGCUAUCUCGGCGGUCACACCCCCUCCAGUGACAUCACGCUCCAAAGCCCUAUAG
Molecule: non-coding RNA, 468 nt
Organism: Pelmatolapia mariae (spotted tilapia)
Lineage: Eukaryota; Metazoa; Chordata; Actinopteri; Cichliformes; Cichlidae
Source: the annotation of a RefSeq genome assembly